AUGGCAGAGUUUACUCGAUCAUUAGGGGGGGCCAGGCCCCUGCUCGCCCCCCCUUGUCUCCGCCACUGGCCGGCGCCGCCGCUGCCGUUCUGUGUACAUGCGUCUGCUUCUCUCUUAAUUGACCUCUGCCACGUCUUCAGUGUUGUUCCACGGGAGGGUUCCUCUUCCGAUGUCUUCCCCAACAAAUUUUCCGUGAUGAGGUGUUCCAGAUCCGGCGAUGAACCAGAGAAUGUGAGGGAAGUUUCGCCAGAGCAGCUACAAUGCAGUAGACUACAACGAGCUCGAACAUGGCAACAGCGAGCUGCGCCAUCUUGUUGGAGAUGCUGA
Molecule: ribosomal RNA, 327 nt
Filed under: Triticum aestivum (bread wheat)
Lineage: Eukaryota; Viridiplantae; Streptophyta; Magnoliopsida; Poales; Poaceae
Description: partial small subunit ribosomal RNA
Source: RNAcentral